Non-coding RNA from Salmo salar (Atlantic salmon), 250 nucleotides. The record is from RefSeq and is a predicted model, not a curated record. NCBI's taxonomy places the organism in Eukaryota, Metazoa, Chordata, Actinopteri, Salmoniformes, Salmonidae.
AGGUAGUGUAGAGAGAUGGUGGUGACGUGUUACCAUGGACCCCAGGUAGUGUAGAGAGAUGGUGGUGACGUGUUACCAUGGACCCCAGGUAGUGUAGAGAGAUGGUGGUGACGUGUUACCAUGGACCCCAGGUAGCGUAGAGAGAUGGUGGUGACGUGUUACCAUGGACCCCAGGUAGUGUAGAGAGAUGGUGGUGACGUGUUACCAUGGACCCCAGGUAGUGUAGAGAGAUGGUGGUGACGUGUUACCA